GAACCGGGGGCCAACCCCGACCACCCCUCCCCACCCCACCCCGGCUGUCUCCACCCGCUGCCCCUCCCCGUGCCACCCCCAUCCCCAUCCCCAUCCCCAUCCCCAUCCCCUACAACUGGGGUGGGGUGGGGCGACCCCAUAAGGGACACCAAGACCCUCAGCACCCUCCCCGCGACCGCAGGGCGACUGGGGGAGUCCCGUAGCCCCCCGACGCGCUGCAGGGCUCCCCCUUUUCCCCCCUCCUCCCCUCUCUCCCCUCUUAGGGCGGCGCUGCGGGAUGCUGCCCACCCCCUCCCGCCCCGUCGGCGUGGCCUUAAAUCGGCUCCGCCAAGCCCUCCCGGCUUGCUGCCGGCCGCGGUGGUGGCAGCAGCGGCGGUGUCGGGCGAUGCCCCCCGGCAGCAGCACCCCCCCGGCACCGCCGUGCGCCCCCGGCGACCCCCGGCCAGGCUGCGCGGCCGCCAGCUCCCCCCCCCUGCAGCUAGCGAGGCUGGGGAGAAGCAGCUGGUUCCUCAGCAUCUCCCUCGGCAGGCCUGCCGGGGGGCGAUUUCCACGCACGCCUGGGGGAAAAGGGGUGCUCUGGGCAGCGCCGAGCAUCCCCGUAGCAGAGCGGCGAUGACUGGCAAUAAAUACCCGGCCGGCAACUUGAGGCUCGCAGGGGCUCCGCGAGUGAGCCGGGGAGCACGAGCGAUGCAGCCUCUGCAGGUGCUUUCGGCGCCUUCCCUGUGCUCAGAGGAGGCCUCCUGGUGCAGAGCACGUAUGCUGAGCACAGCAGGGUACGCACGCAGGUCUGGUCCCCUGAUGCUGCUCGGGUUCAAAUCUCCUCCGGUGAGAAAGGUGAGGCUGGGUGCACAGCAGCAGCAGGACGGGGUCCUGGCAGCAGGGAGGUCACCACUGCUCCAAAACAAGAUACUGGAGGGGAUGCUGGGGAGAUGAGCCUCAGCUAACAGGGAGGGGGGCACCGGUGGGGCCGGGUAUCACAUCUGUCUGCAUGCCACCGAGCCCCCUCCUUCCAUACCUCGAAGCAGGAUGGCUCUUGCUCACCCCCCGGUUUCCUGGAAGCUCUCUGCUGGCAGGGCACACGCUGUACGGCUGAGCACACGCUGUGUCCUGGCACGAGGCUGAGAUUUAUUUAUUUUUCCACCCCCCCUUUCCCUCCCGGGAGCUGCUUCAGUAUCACUUGCAGGGCACUUGAGUUGCGCUGAGUUCGGGCUCCGCAGGGCAGCCCGUG
Molecule: long non-coding RNA, 1228 nt
Filed under: Anas platyrhynchos platyrhynchos (common mallard)
Lineage: Eukaryota; Metazoa; Chordata; Aves; Anseriformes; Anatidae
Description: lncRNA (ENSAPLG00000029648.1)
Source: RNAcentral